Molecule: ribosomal RNA, 497 nt
Filed under: uncultured bacterium
Lineage: Bacteria
Description: partial 16S ribosomal RNA
Rfam family: Bacterial small subunit ribosomal RNA
Source: RNAcentral
GACGAACGCUGGCGGCGUGCCUAAUACAUGCAAGUAGAACGCUGAAGAGAGGAGCUUACUCUUCUUGGAUGAGUUGCGAACGGGUGAGUAACGCGUAGGUAACCUGCCUUGUAGCGGGGGAUAACUAUUGGAAACGAUAGCUAAUACCGCAUAACAAUGGAUGACACAUGUCAUUUAUUUGAAAGGGGCAAUUGCUCCACUACAAGAUGGACCUGCGUUGUAUUAGCUAGUAGGUGAGGUAAUGGCUCACCUAGGCGACGAUACAUAGCCGACCUGAGAGGGUGAUCGGCCACACUGGGACUGAGACACGGCCCAGACUCCUACGGGAGGCAGCAGUAGGGAAUCUUCGGCAAUGGGGGCAACCCUGACCGAGCAACGCCGCGUGAGUGAAGAAGGUUUUCGGAUCGUAAAGCUCUGUUGUAAGUCAAGAACGGGUGUGAGAGUGGAAAGUUCACACUGUGACGGUAGCUUACCAGAAAGGGACGGCUAACUGCGUG